CCUACGGGUGGCAGCAGUGGGGAAUAUUGGACAAUGGGGGGAACCCUGAUCCAGCCAUGCCGCGUGUGUGAAGAAGGCCCUCGGGUUGUAAAGCACUUUCAGUGAGGAAGAACGCCUGGUGGUUAAUACCCAUCAGGAAAGACAUCACUCACAGAAGAAGCACCGGCUAACUCCGUGCCAGCAGCCGCGGUAAUACGGAGGGUGCGAGCGUUAAUCGGAAUUACUGGGCGUAAAGCGCGCGUAGGUGGCUUGAUAAGCCGGUUGUGAAAGCCCCGGGCUCAACCUGGGAACGGCAUCCGGAACUGUCAAGCUAGAGUGCAGGAGAGGAAGGUAGAAUUCCCGGUGUAGCGGUGAAAUGCGUAGAGAUCGGGAGGAAUACCAGUGGCGAAGGCGGCCUUCUGGACUGACUCUGACACUGAGGUGCGAAAGCGUGGGUAGCAAACAGGAUUAGAUACCCUGGUAGUC
This 465-nucleotide ribosomal RNA is filed under the name Vreelandella stevensii. Its description in RNAcentral is "partial 16S ribosomal RNA". It matches the Rfam family "Bacterial small subunit ribosomal RNA", at positions 338 to 795 of the family's 1533-position model. Lineage: Bacteria; Pseudomonadati; Pseudomonadota; Gammaproteobacteria; Oceanospirillales; Halomonadaceae. The record is from RNAcentral.